This is a long non-coding RNA of Halichondria panicea, 1076 nucleotides long. RefSeq lists it as uncharacterized. The transcript has 4 exons. The record is from RefSeq and is a predicted model, not a curated record. Lineage: Eukaryota; Metazoa; Porifera; Demospongiae; Suberitida; Halichondriidae.
GAGUCAGUAAAGUUAUGACAUCAGGGGAGAUGAUACUAGCUUCUAUAAAAACACAUAAUUUGGGAGAGUGUCUCACAAUUUAUGUGCUACACUGGAGAUUUCCUGCUGCCUUUAAAGACUCUGCUAUUAUAUUAAAAAUGUUGGAAGGACUAGCAAGAAAGAUUGGAUUGGGCUUGGCUGGCUUCACUAUUCUACCAUGGUUGCUCAUUGUGAUUGGAUUUGGAUUGUUCACUGUUGGCGUCGGUAGAGCAGCAGUAGGUUCUGCGUGGUUCCCCUAUUGGUUCAUCUCCCUGCUGGGUAUUCCAAUCAUUGUGCUGGGAGCUGUUCAUGCUGUUAUCAGUGCACGAUCUGCGAUUAGGAUCCUCAGGACCAUUAUGACAGUUUUCAGUGUCCUGCUCCUUCUCUGUCUGGGGAUGGUCUUCUUUGAUGCAGGAAGGGGCAUUAUUAUCUCCUUAUCAAAUGGCUACCUUUCUAAUCCUGUAAACUUAAUGUUUGCAGGAACACUAUAAUUGCCACUCUGUCCUGGGUGAGUGAAUGCAUGUAGUAAUGUAUAUAACCUUGACACAACAAAAUACAACGCAUCAAAAGAAAAAUCUGAUUGCUGAUACUGUUAACAGUGACGGAUCCAGACAGGGUUCCAUGGACUCGGAAUCCGCCUUUCACACAAGGAUCAACUUACUAGCUAGCAACUCAGCUUGAAUGAUUGUGAUCUGUAUAGUUACUGUAUCUGUAUAGUUACUCUGGCUGAUGUCAUGCAAUUGAUAUGUGGGCUAGGCUUUCUAACUCUCUAAUGUGCAUGCUCAUUGCUUAUAGGUUUACUGUUAAAUAAUUUGAAACCUCCUUCUCAAAUUCCUGGGUCCGCCACUGGUUAACAACUUUCUGCGUGCUUCCCCUUUGGUUCAUCUCCCUGCUGGGUAUUCCAAUCAUCGUGCUGGAAGCUGUUCAUGCUGUUAUCAGUGCACUACAAUUACUUGCACAGCACAUGAAACAGCUUCUCUCUCUCUGUUCACAGCUUAAAACAUAUACAAUUACUUGAAGUGCACAGUACACGAAAAAAACGAUAUUCUCUCUCUCUU